AGCCUAUAAACAGAAGGGGAGUCAACUGCAUAACAGGAUAGCUAACAGGAGAACAAGGGGAAAUGGUUUUAAGUUGAGGGAAGGAAGAUUUAGGUUGGAUGUCAGGGGGAAGUUCGUCACUAUAACAAUGGUGAGGAUGAGAAACAAGCACCCAAAGAGACUGAGGAUGCACAGUCCCCGGAGAUGUUCAAGGCCAGGUUGGAUGGGGAGCUGGGCAGCCUGUUUUAGUAUCAAAUGAGGAGGUUGGAGGCCCCACCUGUGGGAGGGGGGGAUGGAGAUGCAUGAUACUUGAGGGCCUUGAAACCUGGAUCACUCUGAGAUUCCGUGAGAAAGGUUGGCAGGAAAUUCAACCAGUAAGAAACAAAAGCCUUAACGCUAUCAAAAACUAAAACCAAGACUAAAUAGACAAAGGAAAUGAACAGCAAAUAUAACAGGAAGAACAACAUAAAAAAUAUAUUCUCAGCUGAUUGUGCUGCGAAAAAGGCUGAUAAAGUCAUAAAAAACCAUUCAAACUGAGGCUCCAAAUAAAAUGAUAAUGAGAUAAACACACAAACAGAUUGCUAACUUGAUUUGAAGCCCAGGUCCCCACGCCGCUGCUUCUUCUUUCUUCUGCAGCAGCUCCUGAAACAUCAGCGGGGACACCAUUAGACCCGCGCAGUGGCAAGCCCCCCACCCGACGGAAAAGGCAAACGCAGCAUCGCAAAGGAACUCGGCACGCAAACACCCAGCCAAGAAAGGCUUUGCAAACCUGUUCCCUCCCCCCUCCACCUCCCCAGCUUCAUCCCAGCAAAAACUACUUUCAGCAGCUUUUCUCACCUCACUGAUGCGUGGCGGACUUCCAGCCGGUGCUGCGGGGGAUCACAGAGGCGGGCGGGAUGAGCAAAUAUGUUUGGGCAAAUUUGUCUGGCAACAGAAUUAGCAGCGGCCAAAGAGUCAACUUCCCUGCUUACAGGAGAUCCCCAGCCACUGCUUCCAUUACUAAGAGAACUGUACUCAUCACAGUAACUGUUCUUUUUUAUGUCAAUCACGUUGCUAUCUGUACUAUCCUUAGAUCUGUGGAUACCCCUUCUAACAGUGAGGUUUUUUUUUGCUGCAUGGUUACCUUAUUUUCUUUUUCAUUUGAGAUUCUGUGUUCCACAUAUUCAUCUUAUUUUCUCAUUCCCCAGUUUUGAUCAGUGUAUUGAUAGGAUGUUUGAAGUGAGGCAGCCAACUCAGUACAUCUAGUGCUGUUGAUAGACUUUAGGAAGGAUUGAAGAUUCUGACUUUAAGGCCUCCAUUUUUUUUAUAGUUUUCAAUCUGUUUUUUUUUUUUAUUCAGAUUCAUCAUUGUUUUCAGCUUCUUAAACACCAGAACAUUAACUUAGUACUUCCCACUUUUCAACCUCAGUGUGUCUGUCAUGACAUGCCCCAUACCCACCACCCCAUUUGUUAUUGAAUAAACAUAUGAACAUAUGGAUCUACUCUCCAUUCUCAGAUACUUCUGCUUUAUUACAGCUGCUUAUCGUCUAGUAGCUUCUUCUUCCACGUGGCAGCUUGCCACGUUCGGUGCUUAUCGCCGUGCUCCCCCC
Molecule: long non-coding RNA, 1567 nt
Organism: Gallus gallus (chicken)
Lineage: Eukaryota; Metazoa; Chordata; Aves; Galliformes; Phasianidae
Source: Ensembl